UACGUAGGUGGCAAGCGUUGUCCGGAUUUACUGGGCGUAAAGAGCGCGCAGGCGGUCGUUCAAGUCGCGUGUGAAAGCCCCCGGCUCAACUGGGGAGGGUCACGCGAUACUGAUCGACUCGAAGGCAGGAGAGGGAAGUGGAAUUCCCGGUGUAGUGGUGAAAUGCGUAGAUAUCGGGAGGAACACCAGUGGCGAAGGCGAGUCCCUGGACAACUCCUGACACUGAGGCACGAAAGCUAGGGGAGCAAACAGG
RNAcentral lists this ribosomal RNA (253 nucleotides) under uncultured bacterium. RNAcentral's name for it is "partial 16S ribosomal RNA". It matches the Rfam family "Bacterial small subunit ribosomal RNA", at positions 524 to 776 of the family's 1533-position model. The record is from RNAcentral.